GCCUACGGGAGGCAGCAGUAGGGAAUCUUCCACAAUGGACGAAAGUCUGAUGGAGCAACGCCGCGUGAGUGAAGAAGGAUUUCGGUUCGUAAAACUCUGUUGCAAGGGAAGAACAAGUAGCGUAGUAACUAGCGCUACCUUGACGGUACCUUGUUAGAAAGCCACGGCUAACUACGUGCCAGCAGCCGCGGUAAU
RNAcentral lists this ribosomal RNA (195 nucleotides) under uncultured Bacillota bacterium. Its description in RNAcentral is "uncultured Firmicutes bacterium partial 16S ribosomal RNA". It matches the Rfam family "Bacterial small subunit ribosomal RNA", at positions 337 to 524 of the family's 1533-position model. The record is from RNAcentral. Lineage: Bacteria; Bacillati; Bacillota.